RNAcentral lists this RNase P RNA (306 nucleotides) under human gut metagenome. Its description in RNAcentral is "Bacterial RNase P class A". It matches the Rfam family "Bacterial RNase P class A", at positions 31 to 356 of the family's 367-position model. From Rfam's summary of the family: Ribonuclease P (RNase P) is a ubiquitous endoribonuclease, found in archaea, bacteria and eukarya as well as chloroplasts and mitochondria. The record is from RNAcentral.
AGGUAUUACUGUGAGGAAAGUCCGGGCUUCAUAGGGCAGGAUAGCUGAUAACGUCAGCCGGAGGCGACUCCCGGGAAAGUGCAACAGAAAGAAACCGCCCGCAAGGGUAAGGAUGGAAAGGCGAGGUAAGAGCUCACCCACUCCUAUGGUAACAUAGGUUUGCUGUAAACCCUAUCCGAAGCAACACCGUAGCGGAUGGUCUGCCCGACACAGGUCCGCAGGUGGCACGGGGAAACCCGAAGCCUGACGGUGACGUCAGGCGAAGAUAGAUGGUCGCUUAAGACAGAACCCGGCUUACAGACAGAG